RNAcentral lists this long non-coding RNA (868 nucleotides) under Lonchura striata (white-rumped munia). Its description in RNAcentral is "domestica (Bengalese finch) lncRNA (ENSLSDG00000003325.1)". Lineage: Eukaryota; Metazoa; Chordata; Aves; Passeriformes; Estrildidae. The record is from RNAcentral.
GUCCCAGGUGUGCCCAGGUGUGUCCCAGCUGUGUCUCACCUGUCCCAGGUGUGCCCAGGUGUGUCCCAGCUGUGUCUCACCUGUCUCAGGUGUGUCUCACCUGUCCCAGCUGUGCCCAGGUGUGUCCCAGCUGUGUCUCACCUGUCCCAGCUGUGUCUCACCUGUCCCAGGUGUGUCUCACCUAUCUCAGGUGUGUCUCACCUGUCCCAGGUGUGUCUCCAGGUGUGUCUCACCUGUCCCAGCUGUGUCUCACCUGUCUCAGGUGUGUCCCAGGUGUGUCUCACCUGUCCAGGUGUGUCUCACCUUGAUGAAGGCGUAGCCAGCGCUGUUGUCGGUGAUGGUCAGCCCCAGCUGUGCCCAGGUGUGUCUCACCUGUCCCAGGUGUGUCUCCAGGUGUGUCUCACCUGUCUCAGGUGUGUCUCACCUUGAUGAAGGCGUAGUCGGCGCCGUUGUCGGUGAUGGUCAGCCCCAGCUGUGCCCAGGUGUGUCUCACCUGUCCCAGGUGUGUCUCCAGGUGUGUCUCACCUGUCCCAGCUGUGUCUCACCUAUCUCAGGUGUGUCUCACCUAUCUCAGGUGUGUCUCCAGGUGUGUCUCACCUGUCCCAGCUGUGUCUCACCUAUCUCAGGUGUGUCUCCAGGUGUGUCUCACCUGUCCCAGCUGUGUCCCAGGUGUGUCUCACCUAUCUCAGGUGUGUCUCACCUGUCUCAGCUGUGUCCCAGGUGUGUCUCACCUAUCUCAGGUGUGUCUCACCUGUCCCAGGUGUGUCUCCAGGUGUGUCUCACCUGUCCCAGGUGUGUCUCACCUGUCUCAGGUGUGUCUCCAGGUGUGUCUCACCUGUCCCAGCUGUGUCUCACCUAUCUCAGGUGU